CAGCCCUUGACAUGGCAGGACGGUUACCAGAGAUGGUUUCCUUCACUUCGGUGACCUGCACACAGGUGCUGCAUGGCUGUCGUCAGCUCGUGUCGUGAGAUGUUGGGUUAAGUCCCGCAACGAGCGCAACCCUCGCCCUUAGUUGCCAUCAUUCAGUUGGGCACUCUAAGGGGACUGCCGGUGAUAAGCCGGAGGAAGGUGGGGAUGACGUCAAGUCUUCAUGGCCCUUACGGGCUGGGCUACACACGUGCUACAAUGGUGGUGACAGAGGGUUGCUAGGCCGCGAGGUCAUGCUAAUCCCAAAAAGCCAUCUCAGUUCGGAUUGCUCUCUGCAACUCGAGAGCAUGAAGUCGGAAUCGCUAGUAAUCGCAGAUCAGCACGCUGCGGUGAAUACGUUCCCGGGCCUUGUACACACCGCCCGUCACACCAUGGGAGUUGGUUCUACCCGAAGCCGGUGCGCUAACCGCAAGGAAGCAGCCGACCACGGUAGGGUCAGCGACUGGGGUG
Molecule: ribosomal RNA, 507 nt
Filed under: uncultured bacterium
Lineage: Bacteria
Description: bacterial SSU rRNA
Rfam family: Bacterial small subunit ribosomal RNA
Source: RNAcentral